This 494-nucleotide ribosomal RNA is filed under the name uncultured bacterium. RNAcentral describes it as "partial 16S ribosomal RNA". It matches the Rfam family "Bacterial small subunit ribosomal RNA", at positions 28 to 507 of the family's 1533-position model. The record is from RNAcentral.
GACGAACGCUGGCGGCGUGCUUAACACAUGUAAGUCGAACGGAAAGGCCUGCUUUCCCUUGUGGAUUGCGGGUACUCGCGUGGCGAACGGGUGAGUAACACGUGAGUGAUCUGCCCCCAACUUGGGUAUAAGCCUGGGAAACUGGGUCUAAUUCCCGAUAGGACUGCAGGGUGGUGCCUGUGGUGGAAAACGAUUUUCUAGUGGUUGGGGAUGAGCUCGCGGCCUAUCAGAUGGUUGGUGGGGUAAUGGCCGACCAGGGCGGCGACGGGUAGCCGGCCUGAGAGGGUGGACGGCCGCAUUGGGACUGAGAUACGGCCCAGACUCCUACGGGAGGCAGCAGUGGGGAAUAUUGCACAAUGGGCGGAAGCCUGAUGCAGCGACGCCGCGUGGGGGAUGCCGGCCUUCGGGUUGUAAACUCCUUUCGACCGCGAGGAAGCCACCUGGUUGGAAGGGUGGUGACGGUAGUGGUAGAAGAAGCACCGGCUAACUACGUG